GAUAUAUUGGAAAUUAAGUCAUCAACAGUACCUUAAGCACCACUCUGUAGGUAAUUUUGGAUAGUGUCUUUUCUUUACAUUUUGAUAUAGGGAAGGAAUUAAUUCACAUCGACACAAACGAAGUAAUAGAUACCAUAUAACUUGUGUGAUACUGUAGCUUUUAUAAUGAAUUACUUCUUGAAAGUUUUUUUCCUAUACAAUGUAUUGUUAAACAAUUGUAACGAUAGUCUCUUUUUGUUUAACUAUAGAAAAUGGUAGAUAGUGUGGUACAGCAAACAAGAUUAACAAAUUUUCGUUGGAGAGAAAUUAUUUGGGCUCAGGCUUGCAAUAACAUUAUGAUGAUUUUAAGAAAAAUUGCAGUUCCUAUGAGUUAUAUAUUGAUACGGCAGAUUUUUAAACACUUAGUUGCUAAAAUUAGUUUUCCUAAAGUCGUAUUUGGGAAAGUCUGAGUAGAGAACCAGUAAGUCACUCUAAUCAUCCCAACAGAGAGCAAAUAUUUUAGUCUUAAAUUACCUCAAAAAAUCUGUAUGUUGUUUAUAAUAUGUAAAUGCCCAAUAUGUAAAGGAUAACAUAAGUUCUCGAAAUUGUCAUAAGUCCUUCCUAAAAACUGAACCUAAGUGUUUAGGUAUCUGUACUGUUAUAGAGAUCCUUGAAAAUAUGAAAUAAAGAUAAUCGAAAUUAAGAUGAAA
Molecule: long non-coding RNA, 689 nt
Filed under: Pan troglodytes (chimpanzee)
Lineage: Eukaryota; Metazoa; Chordata; Mammalia; Primates; Hominidae
Description: lincRNA
Source: RNAcentral